RNAcentral lists this ribosomal RNA (603 nucleotides) under uncultured Verrucomicrobiota bacterium. RNAcentral's name for it is "bacterial SSU rRNA". It matches the Rfam family "Bacterial small subunit ribosomal RNA", at positions 37 to 618 of the family's 1533-position model. Lineage: Bacteria; Pseudomonadati; Verrucomicrobiota. The record is from RNAcentral.
UGGCGGCGUGGAUAAGACAUGCAAGUCGAACGAGAUUUUCCGUUGUAGCAAUACGAUGGAAAGUCUAGUGGCGAACGGGUGCUUAACACGUGGGCAACCUGCCGAGAAGUGGGGGAUAGCUCGCCGAAAGGCGAAUUAAUACCGCAUGUGAUUAGAGUGGACAUCCAUUCGAAAUUAAAGUCGGGGCAACCUGACGCUUCUUGUGGGGCCCGCGGCCUAUCAGCUAGUUGGUGAGGUAACGGCUCACCAAGGCUUUGACGGGUAGCUGGUCUGAGAGGACGACCACCCACACUGGGACUGAGACACGGCCCAGACACCUACGGGUGGCAGCAGUCGAGAAUUUUUGACAAUGGGGGAAACCCUGAUCGAGCGACGCCGCGUGGAGGAUGAAGGUCUUCGGAUUGUAAACUCCUGUCAUUGGGGAACAAUGCGUGACGCUUAACUGCCGUUGCGUUGAUAGUACCCGAAGAGGAAGAGACGGCUAACUCUGUGCCAGCAGCCGCGGUAAUACAGAGGUCUCAAGCGUUGUUCGGAUUCAUUGGGCGUAAAGGGUGCGUAGGCGGCGCGGUAAGUCGGGUGUGAAAUCUCGGAGCUUAACUCCGA